GCAAAGAGCAUCUAAACUCGUAUAUUUCAACUUUCAAGAGGAUCAUUCGUAGACAUCUCUUUAACAACACUAUUAACAGAUUUAUCUAGAAGAAUUUUGACAAGUAGAGGUCAUGCUCAUAAAAAUUCACAAAUGAGACAUUGUAACACUUACCGAGGGGAGAUGAGGAGAAGUCUGGUGGGGCGAGGAAACAGGAAGAGUCAUUGGAGAAGGUGAGGAUAGAGAAGAGGCUCUUCUCUUAAGGUAAAAAAGAUAGAACAAGAGGAAGAGAAUGAUGGAGAAUAAGAUGGGAAUGGAGAAGAUGAAGGCUUGAUAAAGUUUGAGUUGAAUUGCUUGUGGGUAUAGGUGAGGUGAGAUUGGAGAUUGAGGAUCAAUCAUAACUUUUAGUUUCUAGAAAUUAAACUCAACAGAAGAAAAAAAA
Molecule: long non-coding RNA, 421 nt
Organism: Raphanus sativus (radish)
Lineage: Eukaryota; Viridiplantae; Streptophyta; Magnoliopsida; Brassicales; Brassicaceae
Exons: 2
Source: RefSeq, a predicted model, not a curated record